CACAAAAGGAAACACGUCUACGUGCCGCUGGCCCUUCUUCAGCUGUGUGGUUAGAGGUCCCCGAUUUAUUUUCCACAGUUAGCAGCUGGCCUUCUCCCAACUUCUCUCCCAGUUCUCCUUGGACGGCCUGCUGCUGGCUGGGCAGGGCAGUCUGGCGGAGCUGCCUGAGGGCACCCCUUCCUCUGCUGGGAUCCCCGAAGAGUUCAGGCCUCUUGGUUACUGGGCUGCACGGGGCUGAUUAUCAAGCUCUUCACGGGGACACAGGGGCCCAGGCCUGCAUGCAGGAUGAGGAGGAAGGCCCAGAGAUGCCUUUGCAAGCCUCUGCUGUGCUCUUCGGGCAAGUCAUUCCAACUCCUAGGCCUCGGCUUCCUCAUCUGUUAAAUCCCUCAUCGGGCACUCUACCGCCUGAGGGCCGUGGACCUAGAGGCCAGUGUGGCUGUUCAGCUACGUGUACUGGGACCCAUCUGAGCCAGCCUCUGGGCCUCACCCUACGGGGGCUUCCAGCACAGCGAGAACCUCCUCUGUGCUCAGUGCUGUGCUUGGGACUGAGGGCUUAAUGAGAAGCAGGGCAGAUGUAUUCCUUCCCUCCUGGAGGAGCUCCUGGUUAAGAUGAGAAGGCUGAUGAGCAAACAGGCCAUCCCAAAACACUGAUCCGCGCCUGGAGAGAAGAGAUGCACGGGCUGCGAGAGCAGAGAGGAAGGCUUCUGCCUCAGAUCCCAGGGGAGGUGGAGCAGAGAGCUGCAGGAUGAUGAGUGGGCUGGGCAGAGAGGCCUAGAAGGAGAAGAGAGCAUCCCAGAACGGGAGUGGGGGUUGUUCUUUUCAGUGGGUGAAGAUCAGGCAGGAGGCACAGUGGUGGCAGGGGCUAGAUCUCACGUGUUGUGCUGUGUACAUUAAGGAAUUAUCUGGAGGGCACUGGGAAGCCUUUGAAAGCCUUUAAGCAAGGGUUGUAAGGGAUCCGAUUUGUGUUUUGGAAAAAUCCCUUUAGUGCAGGUGGAAAUCAGGUUGGAGAGCAUCUGAGGGAAGUCCUGUACCAGGUUCAGCUCCAGGGCAGGGAGGAGCACCUCUUGGACACAAGCCCUAUAAAGGCAGGAUGGUGGCCUUAUUCUUGCUGUUACCCCUCAGCGCCCAUUGGGGAGUGUUGCCCAAGUCCUGCUAAGGGAGGCCAUGUGGGGUCCUGGGCGAUGGCUGGUCUUCUUGCCCACAGAGUCCCUUGUUCUUGCUGAGGUGCAGCCACUGUGAUGGUGACAUAGCUCUCUGGCACCAUCAGGGAAACAUGAGGGCCUCCAUUCUGGGUGAAGGCUGCCAGGAGAAGGUAGGGAACCUCUUGGAGGAGGCAGGAAAGAGCCGGGUCUCAGAGAAGGAGCCUCUUUGGAUUUAUCCAUUAAUGCCUGCAUCUCCUCGCCCCAGGUGAUUCAUUUGGCCUUUAAGAGUAAAAUGCAUGUGGUUCCCAUGCCCUAGUAGGGUGGGUGUUGGGAGGGAGGUAGCUUAUCCCGGACUAAGCCCAGCAUGUGAGGAGGGCAGAUGGAC
This 1527-nucleotide long non-coding RNA is filed under the name Equus caballus (horse). RNAcentral describes it as "lncRNA (ENSECAG00000059843.1)". Lineage: Eukaryota; Metazoa; Chordata; Mammalia; Perissodactyla; Equidae. The record is from RNAcentral.